Molecule: long non-coding RNA, 292 nt
Organism: Limulus polyphemus (Atlantic horseshoe crab)
Lineage: Eukaryota; Metazoa; Arthropoda; Merostomata; Xiphosura; Limulidae
Exons: 3
Source: RefSeq, a predicted model, not a curated record
UUUCAUAUAUUAGGUGAUCCAUCAUACUCCAACAAUUCCUUUUCUGUGUCCACUUCCAGCAGUGCCAAAUUUGCCUCUGAAACUGAAGAGAUUGAGCUGUCUAGUUUGAGUGCUUAUCAUCAAGCCACUGGUCAAUACGAGUCAGAUAGUGCCUCCCACAUAACAGCAGAUCCUUCCAGCCAAAGCACGGGAGCAUCUUCUAACAGCAGUGUACCAUCUGCACUCAGUUGUGGUAAAAAUGGUAACCACCAAGAACAGAAGGGAAAUAAUAGUACAGGUCAAUUAUUCCAUC